RNAcentral lists this ribosomal RNA (494 nucleotides) under uncultured bacterium. RNAcentral describes it as "partial 16S ribosomal RNA". It matches the Rfam family "Bacterial small subunit ribosomal RNA", at positions 28 to 507 of the family's 1533-position model. The record is from RNAcentral.
GACGAACGCUGGCGGCGUGCUUAACACAUGCAAGUCGAACGGUGAAGCGCCUUCCUUUUUGGUGGGUGUGGAUGAGUGGCGAACGGGUGAGUAACACGUGAGUAACCUGCCCCCUUCUUCUGGAUAACCGCAUGAAAGUGUGGCUAAUACGGGAUAUUCUGGGUCUGUCGCAUGAUGGGUCUGGGAAAGAUAUUGUUUCGGUGGGGGAUGGGCUCGCGGCCUAUCAGCUUGUUGGUGGGGUGAUGGCCUACCAAGGCGGUGACGGGUAGCCGGCCUGAGAGGGUGGACGGUCACAAUGGGACUGAUACGCGGCCCAGACUCCUACGGGAGGCAGCAGGGGGGAAUAGUGCACAGUGGGCGCAAGCCUGAUGCAGCGACGCCGCGUGAGGGAUGGAGGCCUUCGGGUUGUGAACCUCUUUCGCCAGUGAAGCAGGCCUGCCGCGUUUGUGGGUGGGUUGACGGUAGCUGGAUAAGAAGCGCCGGCUAACUACGUG